Molecule: ribosomal RNA, 1110 nt
Filed under: Triticum aestivum (bread wheat)
Lineage: Eukaryota; Viridiplantae; Streptophyta; Magnoliopsida; Poales; Poaceae
Description: partial small subunit ribosomal RNA
Source: RNAcentral
AUGGAAGAUGUUGCUCGGGAUUACUUUGAUGAAUUGGUGUCGGCCUCAUUUCUGCAACUAGGAGGGAAACAAGAAAAUAUUCUUGGACAUGAUGGUGUGGUUGAUUACUUUACUAUUCAUGAUCUGCUCUGUGAUUUAGCGGAGGACGUUUCUGGAAGAGAUUGCUUCAGGAUUGAGAAAGGCUUCACAGGAGAAGUUCCUCAAGAUGUUCGCUACCUUUUUGUCGGGAGUUAUGAUAUAGAGAUGCUUACUGAGAAGAUGUCUGGAUUGAAACAUUUACGCACUCUCAUCAUCAAUGACAUCAUAUGGCUUAAAUCAGAUGAGUCUGAAUUCUUAGCGAGUAUGUUCACUAUGUUGACAGGGCUGCGGAAAUUGCGGGUACUGAAUAUGAGAGUAGCACGUGAGAGGAGUGGAUUUGGUUUUUCAUUCUCAUUCCCAGAUUCUAUUGGUCAGUUGAAGCAUCUGCGUUAUUUUGGUUUCAUGGUUCCAGUACUUCACAAGCUAACUUUACCAGGUGCUUUUACCAAGCUUUACCACAUGCAGGUGGUAGAUUUUGGUCAUUGCAAAUUUUUGGCUUUUUCUAGAGGUGAAGAUAUGAUGAACCUUGUCAACCUGCGCCGUGUAAUCAGCAAGGCAGAUCUUGAUUUUCCGAACGUUGGCAGGCUGACAUGGCUCCAAAUGUUACCAUUCUUCACAAUAAGUAAGAAGCAGGGGUACGAGUCUCACCAGCUGAAAUACCUAAACAAGCUUCAAGGCAAGCUGCAGAUCCACGGUCUUGAGAAUGUUCAGAGCAAGGAAGAGGCUCUUGAAGCCAAUCUUGCCGGCAAGGAAAAACUCACAGAACUGGUUCUGGUCUGGGAUGAUGGGAGCUUCAGUCCAGAAGUUCAAGCAGAGGUGCUUGAGGGUCUCUGUCCAUCAAAGUAUCUUGAAAGACUAGAAAUCAGGGAUUACCAGGGUAAGAGGAUACCGAGUUGGCUGAUGGGUACGCAUAACGGCAGCCCAAAGAACCUGCAAGACCUUCACUUCAACAGCUGCAGCUUGGAUGACUUACCAGGUAAUACGGAGCACCUCACAUCACUCAAGAAUGUGAUCCGGUAUAACUACCGCUGA